This 738-nucleotide ribosomal RNA is filed under the name uncultured bacterium. RNAcentral describes it as "bacterial SSU rRNA". It matches the Rfam family "Bacterial small subunit ribosomal RNA", at positions 61 to 843 of the family's 1533-position model. The record is from RNAcentral.
GUCGAACGGGCUCUUCGGAGCUAGUGGCGGACGGGUGAGUAACGCGUGAGAAUCUGCCUUCAGGUCUGGGACAACAGAAGGAAACUUCUGCUAAUCCCGGAUGAGCCCUUGGGUAAAAGAUAAAUUGCCUGGAGAUGAGCUCGCGUCUGAUUAGCUAGUUGGUAUGAUAAAAGCAUACCAAGGCGACGAUCAGUAGCUGGUCUGAGAGGAUGAGCAGCCACACUGGGACUGAGGCACGGCCCAGACUCCUACGGGAGGCAGCAGUGGGGAAUUUUCCGCAAUGGGCGAAAGCCUGACGGAGCAAGACCGCGUGGGGGAGGAAAGCUCUAGGGUUGUAAACCCCUUUUCUUUGGGAAGAAGUACUGACGGUACCAAAGGAAUCAGCCUCGGCUAACUCCGUGCCAGCAGCCGCGGUAAUACGGAGGAGGCAAGCGUUAUCCGGAAUGAUUGGGCGUAAAGCGUCCGCAGGUGGCCAUGUAAGUCUGCUGUCAAAACCCAGGGCUUAACUCUGGUCAGGCAGUGGAAACUACAAAGCUAGAGUUCGGUAGGGGCAAAGGGAAUUCCCGGUGUAGCGGUGAAAUGCGUAGAUAUCGGGAAGAACAUCGGUGGCGAAAGCGCUUUGCUAGACCAAAACUGACACUCAGGGACGAAAGCUAGGGGAGCGAAUGGGAUUAGAUACCCCAGUAGUCCUAGCCGUAAACGAUGGAUACUAGGUGUUGCCUGUAUCGACCCAGGCAG